AUGGAUAAAUAUGAGGACGCUUGGGUCCUCGGGUUCUUGGGCAAAAGGCCCAACCUCAAAAUACCCCAAACGGGUCACACCUCCAGGGAUUCAUUCUCACAUUCAAAACAAGGUAGAAAAAGGGAAAGAAAAAGUUCAUGUCCAAAUACCAUACUCUGAUCCAAAUACGAAUGAAACAAAAUUUCACGACACCGGAGAAAAAUUCACUCGAUGGCAUCCACGACUCAAUGAAAACUCACCUCAACGUUCGAUGUACUCUUUCACUCGUGGUUGAUUAGGAUGAAGAUGCAACUUCGUUUGGAUCCGUGCGUUCCGUUGAGACGAAGAUGAAGCCUUCAGGUUUGUGCGCGUGCUAUGUGUUGUUGUUGUCCGAUUCUGAAUUGGGUUGCGUUUGCGUCGUUGCUGUUGAUUCUUUGAUUUUCCGUUGAUGAUGAAGAGUGAAGUGUUGGAAGUGUGAUGAGAUUCGUGAUUGAAGCGAUGAAUCCGUUUUCUUCACGAAUUGUUUGUUGAAGGAUUCACGAUGAUGAAUGAUGAAGAGUGAAGUUCUCUCCUCCCAAAAAUUUGAUGCAUACAUGGAAUGAGGCAAGGCUUGAACAAAGGUUUCAACCCGGCUUGACAAGGCAUGGUGUGGCAUCAAAUUUGAAAAGGAUUUGGAGUGAACUUUGGAGAUUAGCAAUAUAGUUUAGGAACAUUGUAAUGGCUUGUACGUAGGGUUAGGCAUAGUCAUGUAAUUGGAUUGAUGGUGUGAAUGUAAUUGGAAUGUGGUUAUGAAUCUUGGAGUUUGGAUAUUGGAAUGUCAUGGAAAUACUAUGGAAUUUUGUUGUAAAUUUGAAAUGAACCUUGUGAAUUUGAAAUGAUAAUGAUGUAACUGUUUAAUUUUGAAUAUAUAUGAAAUGGUUUCUAUAUGAAA
Long non-coding RNA from Lathyrus oleraceus (garden pea), 910 nucleotides. RefSeq lists it as uncharacterized. The transcript has 2 exons. Lineage: Eukaryota; Viridiplantae; Streptophyta; Magnoliopsida; Fabales; Fabaceae. The record is from RefSeq and is a predicted model, not a curated record.